RNAcentral lists this ribosomal RNA (465 nucleotides) under uncultured bacterium. Its description in RNAcentral is "partial 16S ribosomal RNA". It matches the Rfam family "Bacterial small subunit ribosomal RNA", at positions 28 to 507 of the family's 1533-position model. The record is from RNAcentral.
GACGAACGCUGGCGGCGUGCUUAACACAUGCCAGUCGAACGGAAAGGCCCUGCUUGCAGGGUACUCGAGUGGCGAACGGGUGAGUAACACGUGGGUGAUCUGCCCUGCACUUCGGGAUAAGCCUGGGAAACUGGGUCUAAUACCGGAUAGGAGCCAUUUUUAGUGUGAUGGUUGGAAAGUUUUUUCGGUGUAGGAUGAGCUCGCGGCCUAUCAGCUUGUUGGCGGGGUAAUGGCCUACCAAGGCGGCGACGGGUAGCCGGCCUGAGAGGGUGGACGGCCACAUUGGGACUGAGAUACGGCCCAGACUCCUACGGGAGGCAGCAGUGGGGAAUAUUGCACAAUGGGCGCAAGCCUGAUGCAGCGACGCCGCGUGGGGGAUGACGGCCUUCGGGUUGUAAACUCCUUUCGCUAGGGACGAAGCUUUUUGUGACGGUACCUAGAUAAGAAGCACCGGCUAACUACGUG